Molecule: ribosomal RNA, 465 nt
Filed under: Vreelandella stevensii
Lineage: Bacteria; Pseudomonadati; Pseudomonadota; Gammaproteobacteria; Oceanospirillales; Halomonadaceae
Description: partial 16S ribosomal RNA
Rfam family: Bacterial small subunit ribosomal RNA
Source: RNAcentral
CCUACGGGGGGCUGCAGUGGGGAAUAUUGGACAAUGGGGGCAACCCUGAUCCAGCCAUGCCGCGUGUGUGAAGAAGGCCCUCGGGUUGUAAAGCACUUUCAGUGAGGAAGAACGCCUGGUGGUUAAUACCCAUCAGGAAAGACAUCACUCACAGAAGAAGCACCGGCUAACUCCGUGCCAGCAGCCGCGGUAAUACGGAGGGUGCGAGCGUUAAUCGGAAUCACUGGGCGUAAAGCGCGCGUAGGUGGCUUGAUAAGCCGGUUGUGAAAGCCCCGGGCUCAACCUGGGAACGGCAUCCGGAACUGUCAAGCUAGAGUGCAGGAGAGGAAGGUAGAAUUCCCGGUGUAGCGGUGAAAUGCGUAGAGAUCGGGAGGAAUACCAGUGGCGAAGGCGGCCUUCUGGACUGACACUGACACUGAGGUGCGAAAGCGUGGGUAGCAAACAGGAUUAGAUACCCUAGUAGUC